RNAcentral lists this unclassified non-coding RNA (335 nucleotides) under soil metagenome. Its description in RNAcentral is "partial contains 5.8S ribosomal RNA, internal transcribed spacer 2, and large subunit ribosomal RNA". The stretch from base 1 to 120 matches the Rfam family "5.8S ribosomal RNA", at positions 35 to 154 of the family's 154-position model. The record is from RNAcentral.
GAUGAAGAACGCAGCGAAAUGCGAUAAGUAGUGUGAAUUGCAGAAUUCAGUGAAUCAUCGAAUCUUUGAACGCACAUUGCGCCCCUUGGUAUUCCAUGGGGCAUGCCUGUUCGAGCGUCAUUUGUACCCUCAAGCUUUGCUUGGUGUUGGGUGUUUGUCCUCUCCUUUGCGUUUGGACUCGCCUUAAAGCAAUUGGCAGCCAGUGUUUUGGUAUUGAAGCGCAGCACAUUUUGCGAUUCUAGCCGAUAAUACUUGCGUCCAUAAGCCUUUUUUAACUUUUGACCUCGGAUCAGGUAGGGAUACCCGCUGAACUUAAGCAUAUCAAUAAGCGGGGA